ACCUGUCGUAUUCGGCGCAUGUGACAAAUAACAUUUGAUUUGAUUUAAUGGAAUGGAUGACCUUGUUCUUACAGACUACUACUCCCUGUAUCCAGAGGUUUGUAGGCUGAACACCACCACCUCAGACACUGAGACACAGAGUGGCAAGUGAAGUCUUCAGCGAUACUAGACCGUAAUUCUCUAAUGCAAAAGUUCAAACAAUUCAGCAAGGACUGGGACUUCGUCCACGCUACGUCAAGUCCCCACUUCCCACAAUCGAACGGACUAGUGGAGAGAUCUGUUCAGACAGUGGAGAGACUGAUGUACAACGCAAAAGACGGUGGAACUGAAUGGGGGUUUUCCCCAGCACACCUCCUCAUGGGAUGCAGACUGAGGACCAACUGACCCAUCACUGAGAACCUCCUAAAAACAAAAGACAGAGAGAAAGUGAGGAAGUUCAAAGAACAACCGAAAACAAAUCAAAAGUUCUACUAUGACAGAGGGACAAGAAACCUAUCUGAUCUCCAACCUGGUGACAACAUGUGGUACAAAGAUGAAACAAAGGCAUGGGCACAAAAAGGAACAGGUACUGAAGCACAGCUAAGGUCAUACAACAUACGAACAGACUAUGGAGAAAUCGCUGUGAUCUUCUAAUCUAAGGGGUCCAGCAAUAGACAGUUGUGACACUGUUGAAGAGGCUGAAAGCACAGUUCUGGCAGGAGCGCAGCAUGAUGAACAAAUGAUCAGAAGAUCGACACGGCAAGGUGAAAGCAGAGUGUUCAGAAUGGCGGGUCGGUGUGUUCCCUGGCCUGAUCUCUCCAUCACUCAACCUGUCAUCAGCCAUGCCUGCCUGACCUUGUUAGGCCAGCGCUUCUCUCCCGCUCACCCCCCUCACCCCAGCCUCAUCCCCAUUGACUAUGUAGCUCUGAUAUGUCAGGGGGAUGAUGAGUGUGUGUCCCUGUUGAAGUGACUUUGGGAGAGAGCGCGCCAGCGGAGUUUUGUUGUCUGUGACUCUGGUAGUAUGUGUGACAAUAUUUAUAUUGGUCAAGUUCAUGGAAGCCUGCUGUGAUCAGGUUUCCCCCAUACAAGCUAUUAAUGGUCCCCAUGGAAACCCUCUUUUCAACACAAGUAGGGGAUCAAACAAAGUGUCAGGAGUUUCGGUCGUGAUAUUCACUCAUCUUUGUUGCAAUGCCUUUUGAUGUAGCAAUAUAAUUGUCUACUCUAGUUUCUUAAUCCUGCACGGUCCUUCAGGUCCCACAGCACAUUUCUGCUUCAGCCCAUCACCUAAUUCAACUACCCAACCUAACGUAAGCCCUUGAUUAGCAUGAUAAGGUGUGUGUUAGUGCUGGGCACGAUCAAAAUAUGCACCCCUGUGGGUUCCCAGGACCAGGAUUAAGAACCCCAUGAAUACAGAAAUACAGUGGGGGAAAAAAGUAU
Long non-coding RNA from Oncorhynchus tshawytscha (Chinook salmon), 1416 nucleotides. RefSeq lists it as uncharacterized. The transcript is spliced from 3 exons. The record is from RefSeq and is a predicted model, not a curated record. Lineage: Eukaryota; Metazoa; Chordata; Actinopteri; Salmoniformes; Salmonidae.